GCCUUCAUAGCUCAAUUGGUAGAGCAACUGAUUUGUAAUCAGUAGGUUGUCUGUUCGACUCGGACUGAAGGCA
Molecule: transfer RNA, 73 nt
Filed under: Alphaproteobacteria bacterium
Lineage: Bacteria; Pseudomonadati; Pseudomonadota; Alphaproteobacteria
Description: tRNA-Thr
Rfam family: tRNA
About the family: Transfer RNA (tRNA) molecules are approximately 80 nucleotides in length. Their secondary structure includes four short double-helical elements and three loops (D, anti-codon, and T loops).
Source: RNAcentral